Molecule: ribosomal RNA, 497 nt
Filed under: uncultured bacterium
Lineage: Bacteria
Description: bacterial SSU rRNA
Rfam family: Bacterial small subunit ribosomal RNA
Source: RNAcentral
UGAACGCUGGCGGAAUGCUUUACACAUGCAAGUCGAACGGCAGCACGGGAGCUUGCUCCUGGUGGCGAGUGGCGAACGGGUGAGUAACAUAUCGGAACGUACCCAGUCGUGGGGGAUAACUCUCCGAAAGGAGAGCUAAUACCGCAUACGUCCUGAGGGAGAAAGCGGGGGACCUGCAAGGGCCUCGUGCGAUUGGAGCGGCCGAUAUCGGAUUAGCUAGUUGGUGAGGUAAGAGCUCACCAAGGCGAUGAUCGGUAACUGGUCUGAGAGGACGACCAGUCACACUGGGACUGAGACACGGCCCAGACUCCUACGGGAGGCAGCAGUGGGGAAUAUUGGACAAUGGGGGCAACCCUGAUCCAGCGAUGCCGCGUGAGUGAAGAAGGCCCUCGGGUCGUAAAGCUCUUUAGGUUGGGAAGAAGGGUGUAGCAAUACAUCUUGACGGUACCAACAGAAUAAGCACCGGCAAACUCUGUGCCAGCAGCCGCGGUAAUACA